This 468-nucleotide ribosomal RNA is filed under the name uncultured bacterium. RNAcentral describes it as "partial 16S ribosomal RNA". It matches the Rfam family "Bacterial small subunit ribosomal RNA", at positions 28 to 507 of the family's 1533-position model. The record is from RNAcentral.
GACGAACGCUGGCGGCGUGCUUAACACAUGCAAGUCGAACGGAAAGGCCCUGCUUUUGUGGGGUGCUCGAGUGGCGAACGGGUGAGUAACACGUGAGUAACCUGCCCUUGACUUUGGGAUAACUUCAGGAAACUGGGGCUAAUACCGGAUAGGAGCUCCUGCUGCAUGGUGGGGGUUGGAAAGUUUCGGCGGUUGGGGAUGGACUCGCGGCUUAUCAGCUUGUUGGUGGGGUAGUGGCUUACCAAGGCUUUGACGGGUAGCUGGCCUGAGAGGGUGACCGGCCACAUUGGGACUGAGAUACGGACCAGACUCCUACGGGAGGCAGCAGUGGGGAAUAUUGCACAAUGGGCGGAAGCCUGAUGCAGCAACGCCGCGUGCGGGAUGACGGCCUUCGGGUUGUAAACCGCUUUCGCCUGUGACGAAGCGUGAGUGACGGUAAUGGGUAAAGAAGCACCGGCUAACUACGUG